CCCUGCCAUUUGUACACACCGCCCGUCGCUACUACCGAUUGAACGUUUUAGUGAGGUACUUGGACUGGGCCUCUGGUGGUUCGCGCCUCCAGUGUUGCCCGGGAAGAUUCCCAAACUUGAGCGUUUAGAGGAAGUAAAAGUCGUAACAAGGUU
Molecule: ribosomal RNA, 153 nt
Filed under: uncultured eukaryote
Lineage: Eukaryota
Description: partial small subunit ribosomal RNA
Rfam family: Eukaryotic small subunit ribosomal RNA
Source: RNAcentral